CAAAUUAAAUCCUCAUUUUUGGAAGGCAUAUUUGUGGUAAGUUGAUACACCUUUGGCCACAGUCCAAAGCUCUUCUAGUGCUUUUUUCUUGUUGCGAUCAUGUCAAGAUCAUGUUCUUUUUUUCUCUUCCUUGCCGCUGCUUUUGGUGUUUAUUGCUUUUGAUUGGGUUUUGCUCACAUUACUGCUUCACGUUGUGUUCCAGGCAAUUGUUUUGCUUAUAAUUUUGAUAUCCGGUCUUUGCUGCAUGAUGGGAAUCGACACUCCUACAAGGUUUGAAGCCCCUACAGAUUCGUAAUCAUUAGAUCUUCUGCAAGAUAAAUUCAUAUUCUGAGGCGCUAUCUUCUGCAAGAUAAAUUCAUAUUCUGAGGUGCUCUGAUUGCAGUAAUGGGCUUGUAUCUUUAUUGCUAUGCAUAACCCUGUAGUUUUUGUUUAUUUCUCAAGCAACGUUCCCUUGUAUUGGCAGUGUAGAGAGUGUGACGUUCAAUAAUGUUAUGGCCAUUCCUCUUAUUUUUUGGUUAGAUAUCAUCUUGUAUGUAUUGAGUUUCAGCUGCCUGCCCCUAGUUUACUGUUUGCCCCAUUGUAAUAAAGACUUGAGAUGCUUUGUUAUCAAAGAAAGCACGAGCCUUGAUAUUGUAGCUUUCUCUCAAACUUAAACAUCUGAAAGGUUGAUGUCGUUGCAUAGUUUUAUGCCAUUUCAAUCUUAAACGGCACCCAAAGAGCUUUCUUCAGUGUUAAAGACACGUCAGUUUGAUCUCUGCCACUGACAGAAAGGCGAGUAUUCAAGUGGGAGAUGAUAGAGCGCCCCAAUCGCGAGUUGGAGGCUGCAAACCAAAUACUUCGUACUAAUUGAUUAUAGAAAACUCUCUACAUUGCCACUUAGCCUCAACUGAUAUACCAAUAGCAGGAUACAAAAUGCGUUGUGGUGGUGACGGAAUAUGUGGACUACCUCACUGUGUUGGUAAAGAGGGUGGAAAUGACACCAUGUAGCCACUUUUACGUAUGUUGUUUAAAAUAUAUUGACAGUUUACAAUCUAUUUAAAAAUUAGUCAAUUUAGCUCAAAUUUCAGGACAUCGCGUCCUAAAUUUCGAAAAUUGUGUCCAGAAGUUCGAAUCUUAUGUCCUAAAUUUAGAAAUUCGGGACACUUAUGCUUGAAU
This 1155-nucleotide long non-coding RNA is filed under the name Nicotiana tabacum (common tobacco). RNAcentral's name for it is "long non-coding RNA (NTAB_LNC017151)". Lineage: Eukaryota; Viridiplantae; Streptophyta; Magnoliopsida; Solanales; Solanaceae. The record is from RNAcentral.